RNAcentral lists this transfer RNA (74 nucleotides) under Culex quinquefasciatus (southern house mosquito). It matches the Rfam family "tRNA". Rfam says of the family: Transfer RNA (tRNA) molecules are approximately 80 nucleotides in length. Their secondary structure includes four short double-helical elements and three loops (D, anti-codon, and T loops). The record is from Rfam by way of RNAcentral. Lineage: Eukaryota; Metazoa; Arthropoda; Insecta; Diptera; Culicidae.
GGCUCCGUGGCUUAAUGGUUACGGCUUCUGCCUCACAAGCAGAAGGUUCAGGGAUUAAAUCCCGGUCGGUACCU